GAAUAUUGGACAAUGGACGAAAGUCUGAUCCAGCCAUGCCGCGUGUAGGAAGAAUGCCCUCUGGGUUGUAAACUACUUUUAUAUGGGAAUAAACCCCCCGACGUGUCGGGGGCUGAAUGUACCAUACGAAUAAGGACCGGCUAACUCCGUUCCAGCCGCCGCGGUAAUACGGAGGGUCCAAGCGUUAUCCGGAUUUAUUGGGUUUAAAGGGUCCGUAGGUGGAAUUGUAAGUCAGUGGUGAAAUCUUUCGGCUUAACCGGAAAACUGCCAUUGAUACUGCAGUUCUUGAGUAUGCUCGAUGUAGGCGGAAUAUGUCAUGUAGCGGUGAAAUGCAUAGAUAUGACAUAGAACACCGAUAGCGAAGGCAGCUUACAAGCGCAUAACUGACACUGAGGGACGAAAGCGUGGGGAGCGAACAGG
This 420-nucleotide ribosomal RNA is filed under the name uncultured bacterium. RNAcentral describes it as "bacterial SSU rRNA". It matches the Rfam family "Bacterial small subunit ribosomal RNA", at positions 359 to 776 of the family's 1533-position model. The record is from RNAcentral.